This 72-nucleotide antisense RNA is filed under the name Micromonospora eburnea. RNAcentral describes it as "ASpks TB sRNA". It matches the Rfam family "ASpks TB sRNA". The record is from RNAcentral. Lineage: Bacteria; Bacillati; Actinomycetota; Actinomycetes; Micromonosporales; Micromonosporaceae.
CUUGAUCGACCCCAACCACAACGGUUGUUCCGGAUCACGUUGGCCGUAGGUCGCCAGCAACGCCUGCGCCUC